Molecule: non-coding RNA, 4984 nt
Organism: Microcebus murinus (gray mouse lemur)
Lineage: Eukaryota; Metazoa; Chordata; Mammalia; Primates; Cheirogaleidae
Source: RefSeq, a predicted model, not a curated record
AGGGAAGGUGGAGAGGGUUCAAAUGUUUAAUGGCAACCAGUGAGGAUUUGCUUUAGCACAUAAAACAUAAAUUGUGAGUGCACGUGAAAAACUCUAAAAAGAGUAAGAGUUUAUGUCUGUGCUGAGAGUAAAGGGAGACUCGCCCAAGAAUAGAAUUGUGAAGAACUAAAUUGUGAAUAAAUUUAUGUUGCUUAGGGGUAAAAGAGAGAAUCUUACAUGGCAAAACUGAUACGCAGACGCACACUUCGGGUCCCUGCAGGAUUUACCUCAGUACUGAGAGGUAAAGGGCACCGUUCACGUGCGGACCGCGGGGGUCUCGCGAGAAUCCUGGAGCAUAAAAAAAAAACGUCACAGAGCGCGAAGUGCAUUCUGGGAAGUGGAGACUCAGGCAGAAUUCCGGAGAUCCAGUAAGUUCUGCGGUUACCUGCAGGGAGGCAGGAGUUUGUCACUUCUCUGCCUGUGAGGUACUAUGACAGAAAGACUUGGGGUUUUAUCUUGUGGUUAAUUGUGUUUCCUUAAAAUCCCUUUGUGGCCGAUGUAGAAUCUACCUCAAUGUAAAAUGACUUUCUGAAGUUAAAGAGGAAACACAUCUUGUUCCCUUGCACCUCCAGGGAGAGAGGGGUUCCGUGAACUGUAUCAUCAUGGAUACAUAUGGAUGGAAAAGAUGAAUGACAUGAAAGUUGGUAAGAAGAAACUGUUCAAACUGUAACACAGACAAGGAUAGUUCACAAUCACGCAUGAUUUCUUCUCCAUGGGCCUCCACUGGGCGCUGUGGAAAGACUUGGGCAGGGAGAAGACAGACUCCUCCACGACAUACAGUCCUACUGAAAUGUCAGAAAAAUAGAUGAGAAAUAUAUGCUGGAGAGGUUGCUGCUGAGGUGACAGCUCAUCUGCCCAGUGUCUCUGCACAGGAAAACCAAGCUUGUCAUUCGCCAAGGCAGAGAGCCAAAAUGGGUCAUAAAAGGAUCAUCAAGGUUAUCUUUAAAAGGACCACCAUAGAGCUGAGUAGAACAUUUCCAGACGUCAUAGAAUGCUAUCCUAUUAUACCCAAAUUCUCUCAGUCCACUUCACAGAAGCCACCAGGGUUUCAUUCUUUUAUAUUCAGGUUGGAGAUCCAGGACAUCAUUAAACCAUGAAAAGAAAUGUUUACCAGAGUAAGAGCAAUAGCAGUUUGACAAAUGUUUUCUGUGAGUUUGGGAAAGCAAUAUUUUUUAAAGGCCAUUUAAAUCUGUCAUCUCUGCCAUCCGGAGUAAGAGUGCUUUAAAAUGGACUGAUGAUAAAUAUGUCUUCAUAAUGCUAAAAUGGAGCACAUCAGCAGAAUCAAACAAGAAAAAUCAAAGGACCUCCACAACCCUAAACUUAAAAGCAUCAGGAAACAGAUUAAAUGCAGACUAUUUCCCUGAGGCUAAAAAGCUCUUCAAUCAUUCCAGUUUUAUUUUCAUGUUUUUCUUCACCAAAAUCUUGCUGAAAUAAAACCUGACUGUGGAAUCAUUAUAGGAUUUGUUGGCAGCGUGAUCGUUAAGAUUGUAUGAGCACCUCCUUCAUCUCCACGAUAUCUCCAUUCUUCUUCUAAGGCAUAAUAUAACAUUAAUAUUAUACCUUUUAUGGAAAGAAAUGUUUUUCUGUAUGUUCUAAAACAGGAGCCAGGGAAAUCACACAGCACAAAAUCCCUCUGAAAUUUUAAAUCAAAGAUAGCACUGUGUGUUUUAAAUUACUGUUGAUAUACGAGGCACUAUACCCGGAGCAGGGGAAAACACAAAGUGAACAAGUGGUGGACGCAGCCUUGAAGGGGGUAAGAGUUCAGCAUUCGUUCUCCUGCUUCCUAAUUCUUUCUGUUUUACUAUGCCAAAGGCCCUGUAUUUUUAAACAAGGCAUUUUCUUUUCUUUGUUAGUUUACCUAAUUGAUUAUGUGGAAAACCAAUGAAAAUACUGAAUUUACUGUAUAUCCAUUAUGAUAAACAGAAAAACAGAAAAUUAGUUUGGAAAACCAAAUGUCGUAUUAAUAUAUAGUAAUAAAUGUUCCUUUUACAGACUCACAUAAAGGCACACUCUAUGUUCUCGACACACAUGCACACUAAAAGUUUGAGAAUCACUGCUCCAAUCUAGUCCCUUAAACAUUAAAUUGAUGUUUCAUAAAAAUGAGACUUCCAUACUACUAUUUCAAUCCUGUUUACUUUGACAGACAGUGUCUGCAAGGAGACUUACAAGUAGGUAAAAUUCGUCUUUCUGUGGCUUUUCAGCAUCCUGACACCCCUUCCACUUCCCUUCUUCCCAAGCAAUCAUUUUGCUGAGAUUUUUGUUUUGCUGUAUUUUCACUUUAAUAUCUCUUGAGAGAGUAAGAUUUGGAGUACAUGUUCUUGGGCUGAGUUAGCAGUUCCUAGCUAGAAUACAAUUUCUGUUAAAUCUUCACCCCAUUACCUUUAAAUAGCUUAACAAUGUCAUUAAUUACUGUAAGUCAAAGCUGAAGAUUUUUAAAGAAAUUGUAAUACUUAUACUUAAUGGAUGUUUCAGGUUAGAAAUACUCAUGUGUCCUUUAUAAAUACUUGUAAUUUUUUACACUUGUCGUAAUAGAAUAAUAUAUGGCUUAAAUUUGGACAUUGAAAAAUAGAAGACAACUCUGAAAAUUGAAAUGAGUUUCCUAAAAGCCUUUUUUGUUCACUAGGACCCUUCACAUAGAAGCAUUUAGGUGAAGGACAAAAACUCAUCUAAAGAUACAAAUAAUUUUUAACUUAUAUGAAGCAGAAGUUAUUAAAUUUCUACAUCAUCAUGAGUUGCUAUUCCAUACCUUUUAUCUAAAUACAAAGAUUAAUUAUAUCAAUAUACAGAAGUGCAUAGUUUCGUUCUUUUUUCUUCUUUUUAAUGAUUCCUGUAGGUAUUUAAUUUACAGGUAGAUGCUUCCAUUUGUAUCUGAAGCUGGGUUUCUGAUAAAAAUAUUUCAUAUUGUCUCAGGGCUUCUCAGAGGUUUGCAGAAGUCUGAGCCUCUUCCAUUUUUUGAGAUUCUCGGUAUUUAUGUAAGCAGUAAUAAUAGAAGUGCCAAAGGUGGUUACAAAAACUGUGAUAUAUCCCCAAAAUUUAAACUAACCCUAACCCAUCUAUCAUAUUAAAAAGUAUUGCAUACGCUCAUUUGGAGAUAUCUAAAUUUGAGGUGCUUCACAAAUGUGAGACCCUGGAACAGAUGGCCUCUCCACUUCUACCUGGGCACUACCACAGGUUUUUUGUUAUCUAUAACUAGUGUUAGACUAAAUUGGAAUAUCUGAAUAUUCACUGGCCUUAAUGUCCCUGCAUUAGGGAAAGCAGAGAGGAUGGGGCAGGAACUACACUGGGCAGUGGUUGACUGCCUGUCAGUCGUCUUCUUACCUCUCUGCUGGGCAAGUAGCCCAGGAAUGAAAGGAAAUAUAGGUAACCUAUCACUCUGCUAUGACACUGGCUUAAAUGUCAUAUGUGCUCAAACGGGAAUUUCUGCAAUAGAGCUACAAGAUUUGACUAUCCCUUGGGAAAAGAUGGCAUAGGCCUAAGCUGUUUGUACUUCCAGGUGGAGGGUUGGAAGUAGCAGUAGCUAGUGAAGACAGCAACUCUCCACAAAGUAAUGGGAAUCUCUGGUCCAACUUAGCUGAAGAAAACCUCAAAAUACAGUUAUCAAAGCACUAAAAUACUUUAUUUUGUAGAAGAGCUUUUAUGUUUUGUUUCGUUUUAUUUUGUUUUUGCUUUUGUGCAGGGAAGAUGAGGGGAAAAAAGAAAAAGUGAAUGCCAUUUCUGAACCUGCCUACAUACCCUGAAACAUUUAGGAAUUCAUGAUUUAUGGAUUUAUGAGUCUUGUCCCUUCUCUGAAAUCUUAUAGAAGAGCCUGCCUGACCUCUUAUCCCUACAACAAUACAUUACAAGCAUCUGAAGGGCAGAGAAAGGACCCACUUUUCUUUUCUCAAUAUUGUAUUCCCAGAGCCAUUUAAUAGAAAUUCAGUAAUUUUUUGGUGACUAAAAUGAUGAAUGUGUCAAUGCUUGGAAGACAGAGCAGGCUCUCUGGGACAAGAGGUAUUAAUAUAUAGAAAUAAAUGUAGGUCCUUAACAUUCCUGAAAGGCACAAGACUUCCAGAGGAGACUCCAACGAAAAAAUAAAGUAAAUAAAAUCAAUCUAAUGCAUAUAUCUAGCCAAAGAAUUCUACCAUCCUGACAUUUUUGUAGGCUUCCAGAAGAGCAAUUGGUUCAGUCACCUCUGUAGCCUGGCUAUACAUAGAACAAGGAUGUACAACUUCCUAGCUUUUUAAAACAAAAAAAAAUAUUCCAACUAACUCAGGACAGUUGGGAUCUAACUGAAGGUCUUGCUGUAAGAAUCUAAAUGCUCUCAUAAAGUUCAUAAACAACCACAUGUUUUAUUUCUGUAUCAUUUGGGUCUCUUUCAGUUCCAAGGGACUGAAAAAAUGCAACCCCAAGCUUCCUUAAGGCAAAAGUGAAUUUAUUGAUAUUUAUUGAUUCAUGAUGUAUGAAAACAUGAAUCAAGGUAGAACUUGUUUUAGUCACAGCUGGAUUCAGAGCUCGAAAACCUCCAUCUGGGGUCCAGCUCCCAGAUCUGCCUCCCUGAGCCUCGGCUUCAUUUUCAGACGUCACAUGGUGACAAAAGAAGCUGUGAGCUCACAUCCCCAUCACACCAAGCCAAGUCCAGUGGAAGAGGGUGCACUUCCUUAAUAAGGGAGGCAAAAACAAAAAAAGUCCCAGAACCCUGCCUCUUUGUCUCUGAUUGGCCAGAGUGGAGCCACAGACCCCUCCAGCUACCAGGGGGCCGCGGUGCAAGAGUACCGGCGCCCAGACGCAGGUACUGGGUGGUUCCCACAAAACAAACGGGUUUUUGUUCGCAAGAGUCGAUGCUGGGAAGCAGAACCACAAAUGUCCACUACAAGUUAUCAUUCGUGGACCCCACUCAUGAAAGCUCUCACAUAUGUUGGUGGAAACAAAUGGCAUUUAAAAAAAAAAAAACCUUUCAAUUUAGGCU